Molecule: ribosomal RNA, 253 nt
Filed under: uncultured bacterium
Lineage: Bacteria
Description: partial 16S ribosomal RNA
Rfam family: Bacterial small subunit ribosomal RNA
Source: RNAcentral
UACAGAGGUCUCAAGCGUUGUUCGGAUUCAUUGGGCGUAAAGGGUGCGUAGGCGGUAGGCUAAGUUUGGUGUGAAAUCCUGGGGCUCAACCCCAGAAUUGCACUGAAUACUGGUUUGCUAGAGGACUGGAGAGGAGAUUGGAAUUCACGGUGUAGCAGUGAAAUGCGUAGAUAUCGUGAGGAAGACCAGUGGCGAAGGCGAAUCUCUGGACAGUUCCUGACGCUGAGGCACGAAGGCUAGGGGAGCAAACGGG